UACGUAGGGUGCGAGCGUUGUCCGGAAUUAUUGGGCGUAAAGGGCUCGUAGGCGGUUUGUCGCGUCGGGAGUGAAAACCUUGGGCUUAACUCAGGGCUUGCUUUCGAUACGGGCAGACUAGAGGUAUGCAGGGGAGAACGGAAUUCCGGGUGUAGCGGUGGAAUGCGUAGAGAUCCGGAAGAACACCGGAGGCGAAGGCGGCUUGCUGGGCGUGAUCUGACGCUGAGGCGCGAAAGCGUGGGGAGCGAACAGG
This 253-nucleotide ribosomal RNA is filed under the name uncultured bacterium. RNAcentral describes it as "partial 16S ribosomal RNA". It matches the Rfam family "Bacterial small subunit ribosomal RNA", at positions 524 to 776 of the family's 1533-position model. The record is from RNAcentral.